UACAGAGGUCUCAACCGUUGUUCGGAUUCAUUGGGCGUAAAGGGUGCGUAGGCGGCGGGGUAAGUCAGGUGUGAAAUCUCGGGGCUCAACCCCGAAACUGCACUUGAUACUGCUUUGCUUGAGUACUGGAGAGGAGACUGGAAUUUACGGUGUAGCAGUGAAAUGCGUAGAUAUUCGCAAGAACACCGGUGGCGAAGGCGGUCUGCUGGGGUGAUGCUGACGCUGAGGCACGAAGGCCAGGGGAGCAAACGGG
RNAcentral lists this ribosomal RNA (253 nucleotides) under uncultured bacterium. RNAcentral's name for it is "partial 16S ribosomal RNA". It matches the Rfam family "Bacterial small subunit ribosomal RNA", at positions 524 to 776 of the family's 1533-position model. The record is from RNAcentral.